RNAcentral lists this ribosomal RNA (256 nucleotides) under uncultured bacterium. RNAcentral's name for it is "partial 16S ribosomal RNA". It matches the Rfam family "Bacterial small subunit ribosomal RNA", at positions 524 to 776 of the family's 1533-position model. The record is from RNAcentral. RNAcentral also lists the same sequence under 1 other name.
UACGGAGGGUGCGAGCGUUGUCCGGAAUCAUUGGGCGUAAAGGGCGCGUAGGUGGCCCGGUCAGUCUUUGGUGAAAGCGCGGGGCUCAACCCUGCGUCGGCCAGGGAUACUGCCGCGGCUCGAGCACUGUAGAGGCAGGCGGAAUUCCGGGUGUAGCGGUGGAAUGCGUAGAGAUCCGGAAGAACACCGGUGGCGAAGGCGGCCUGCUGGGCAGUAUGGCUGACACUGAGGCGCGACAGCGUGGGGAGCAAACAGG